This 74-nucleotide transfer RNA is filed under the name Candidatus Shapirobacteria bacterium CG_4_10_14_0_2_um_filter_40_12. RNAcentral's name for it is "tRNA-Glu". It matches the Rfam family "tRNA". From Rfam's summary of the family: Transfer RNA (tRNA) molecules are approximately 80 nucleotides in length. The record is from RNAcentral. Lineage: Bacteria; Candidatus Shapironibacteriota. RNAcentral also lists the same sequence under 1 other name.
GGCCCCAUCGUCUAGCCCGGUUAGGACGGCAGGUUCUCAUCCUGUUAACAGCGGUUCAAAUCCGCUUGGGGUCA